This 1374-nucleotide ribosomal RNA is filed under the name Pediococcus acidilactici. Its description in RNAcentral is "bacterial SSU rRNA". It matches the Rfam family "Bacterial small subunit ribosomal RNA", at positions 27 to 1357 of the family's 1533-position model. Lineage: Bacteria; Bacillati; Bacillota; Bacilli; Lactobacillales; Lactobacillaceae. The record is from RNAcentral.
GGAUGAACGCUGGCGGCGUGCCUAAUACAUGCAAGUCGAACGAACUUCCGUUAAUUGAUUAUGACGUGCUUGCACUGAAUGAGAUUUUAACACGAAGUGAGUGGCGGACGGGUGAGUAACACGUGGGUAACCUGCCCAGAAGCAGGGGAUAACACCUGGAAACAGAUGCUAAUACCGUAUAACAGAGAAAACCGCCUGGUUUUCUUUUAAAAGAUGGCUCUGCUAUCACUUCUGGAUGGACCCGCGGCGCAUUAGCUAGUUGGUGAGGUAACGGCUCACCAAGGCGAUGAUGCGUAGCCGACCUGAGAGGGUAAUCGGCCACAUUGGGACUGAGACACGGCCCAGACUCCUACGGGAGGCAGCAGUAGGGAAUCUUCCACAAUGGACGCAAGUCUGAUGGAGCAACGCCGCGUGAGUGAAGAAGGGUUUCGGCUCGUAAAGCUCUGUUGUUAAAGAAGAACGUGGGUGAGAGUAACUGUUCACCCAGUGACGGUAUUUAACCAGAAAGCCACGGCUAACUACGUGCCAGCAGCCGCGGUAAUACGUAGGUGGCAAGCGUUAUCCGGAUUUAUUGGGCGUAAAGCGAGCGCAGGCGGUCUUUUAAGUCUAAUGUGAAAGCCUUCGGCUCAACCGAAGAAGUGCAUUGGAAACUGGGAGACUUGAGUGCAGAAGAGGACAGUGGAACUCCAUGUGUAGCGGUGAAAUGCGUAGAUAUAUGGAAGAACACCAGUGGCGAAGGCGGCUGUCUGGUCUGUAACUGACGCUGAGGCUCGAAAGCAUGGGUAGCGAACAGGAUUAGAUACCCUGGUAGUCCAUGCCGUAAACGAUGAUUACUAAGUGUUGGAGGGUUUCCGCCCUUCAGUGCUGCAGCUAACGCAUUAAGUAAUCCGCCUGGGGAGUACGACCGCAAGGUUGAAACUCAAAAGAAUUGACGGGGGCCCGCACAAGCGGUGGAGCAUGUGGUUUAAUUCGAAGCUACGCGAAGAACCUUACCAGGUCUUGACAUCUUCUGCCAACCUAAGAGAUUAGGCGUUCCCUUCGGGGACAGAAUGACAGGUGGUGCAUGGUUGUCGUCAGCUCGUGUCGUGAGAUGUUGGGUUAAGUCCCGCAACGAGCGCAACCCUUAUUACUAGUUGCCAGCAUUCAGUUGGGCACUCUAGUGAGACUGCCGGUGACAAACCGGAGGAAGGUGGGGACGACGUCAAAUCAUCAUGCCCCUUAUGACCUGGGCUACACACGUGCUACAAUGGAUGGUACAACGAGUUGCGAAACCGCGAGGUUUAGCUAAUCUCUUAAAACCAUUCUCAGUUCGGACUGUAGGCUGCAACUCGCCUACACGAAGUCGGAAUCGCUAGUAAUCGCGGAUCAGCAUGC